UAUGAUACAAAAUAAAAAAAAGUGUGAAUGUGGAUCAAAAAAGUUUAUAGAGUAAUUACUAAUUAAUAAUCAAUCACAACUGGAUAAAGAUAAGUACAUAUCUAUACGAGUAUUAUGUUGAAGUAUUGAAAAAAAUGAGAGAGUAGUAGGUAAACAAUUUUAAUUAUUAGUUAGGAGUUUAAUUUCUAAAUAAUUUUUAGAUUCAAUAGUUUUUAAAAACAUUAGCCCGUGCAGGAGCA
RNAcentral lists this long non-coding RNA (239 nucleotides) under Setaria viridis. Its description in RNAcentral is "long non-coding RNA (SVIR_LNC000965)". Lineage: Eukaryota; Viridiplantae; Streptophyta; Magnoliopsida; Poales; Poaceae. The record is from RNAcentral.